This 111-nucleotide ribosomal RNA is filed under the name Segatella copri. Its description in RNAcentral is "partial 16S ribosomal RNA". It matches the Rfam family "Bacterial small subunit ribosomal RNA", at positions 1 to 100 of the family's 1533-position model. The record is from RNAcentral. Lineage: Bacteria; Pseudomonadati; Bacteroidota; Bacteroidia; Bacteroidales; Prevotellaceae.
ACAAUGGAGAGUUUGAUCCUGGCUCAGGAUGAACGCUAGCUACAGGCUUAACACAUGCAAGUCGAGGGGAAACGACAUCGAAAGCUUGCUUUUGAUGGGCGUCGACCGGCG